RNAcentral lists this ribosomal RNA (1235 nucleotides) under metagenome. RNAcentral's name for it is "bacterial LSU rRNA". It matches the Rfam family "Bacterial large subunit ribosomal RNA", at positions 1564 to 2808 of the family's 2925-position model. The record is from RNAcentral.
CGAAUACGAGACGCUACGGCGUCGAAGUAGUGUAUGUCACACUUCCAAGAAAAGCUUGCACUGUCAUAAAUAAAAAUGCCUGUACCAUAACCGACACAGGUGGGUAGGUAGAGUAUACUAAGGGGCGCGAGAUAACUCUCUCUAAGGAACUCGGCAAAAUAACUCCGUAACUUCGGGAGAAGGAGUGCCUUAUUUACAUAGGUUGCAAUAACAAGAUCCAAGCAACUGUUUACCAAAAACACAGGUCUCCGCUAAGUCGUAAGACGAUGUAUGGGGGCUGACGCCUGCCCAGUGCCAGAAGGUUAAAGAAGUUGGUUAGUAUCUGCGAAGCUGAUAACUGAAGCCCUGGUGAACGGCGGCCGUAACUAUAACGGUCCUAAGGUAGCGAAAUUCCUUGUCGGGUAAGUUCCGACCCGCACGAAAGGCGUAAUGAUUUGGAUACUGUCUCGGAGAGGGGCUCGGUGAAAUAGACUUGUCUGUGAAGAUGCGGACUACCUGCACCUGGACAGAAAGACCCUAUGAGGCUUUACUGUAACUUGAAAUUGAAAUUGGACUUUAUUCGCGCAGCAUAGGUGGGAGGCUUUGAAGAUACUCUUGCGGGAGUAUUCGAGCUAUCAGUGAGAUACCACUCUUAUAAUGUUAGAUUUCUAACUUUGAACCAUUAUCUGGUCAAAGAACAGUUUCAGGCGGGCAGUUUGACUGGGGCGGUCGCCUCCUAAACGGUAACGGAGGCGUACAAAGGUUUCCUCUGAACGGAUAGAAAUCGUAUCUAGAGUAUAAAGGCAUAAGGAAGCUUGACUGUGAGACCUACAAGUCGAGCAGGGACGAAAGUCGGUCUUAGUGAUCUGACGGUACUGAGUGGAAAGGCCGUCACUCAACGGAUAAAAGUUACUCUAAGGAUAACAGGCUGAUCUCCCCCAAGAGUUCACAUCGACGGGGAGGUUUGGCACCUCGAUGUCGGCUCAUCGCAUCCUGGGGCGGUAGUACGUCCCAAGGGUUGGGCUGUUCGCCCAUGAAAGCGGUACGCGAGCUGGGUUCAGAACGUCGUGAGACAGUUCGGUCCAUAUCCGGUGUAGGCGUUAGAAUAUUGAGAGGAGCCUUCUCUAGUACGAGAGGACCGAGAAGGACAUACCUCUGGUGUACCAGUUAUCGUGCCAACGGUAAACGCUGGGUAGCUAUGUAUGGAGUGGAUAACCGCUGAAAGCAUCUAAGUGGGAAGCCCACCUCAAGAUAAG